AUUGAACGCUGGCGGCAUGCCUUACACAUGCAAGUCGAACGGCAGCGCGGGGCAACCUGGCGGCGAGUGGCGAACGGGUGAGUAAUACAUCGGAACGUGCCCAAUCGUGGGGAUAACGUAGCGAAGCUACGCUAAUACCGCAUACGAUCUACGGAUGAAAGCGGGGGAUCGCAAGACCUCGCGCGAAUGGAGCGGCCGAUGGCAGAUUAGGUAGUUGGUGGGGGUAAAAGGCUCACCAAGCCGACGAUCUGUAGCUGGUCUGAGAGGACGACCAGCCACACUGGGACUGAGACACGGCCCAGACUCCUACGGAGGCAGCAGUGGGGAAUUUUGGACAAUGGGCGCAAGCCUGAUCCAGCCAUUCCGCGUGCAGGAAGAAGGCCUUCGGUUGU
This 392-nucleotide ribosomal RNA is filed under the name uncultured bacterium. RNAcentral describes it as "bacterial SSU rRNA". It matches the Rfam family "Bacterial small subunit ribosomal RNA", at positions 29 to 426 of the family's 1533-position model. The record is from RNAcentral.